AACCAAGAAAUUAAGUUAUAUCAAACCGGUAAAAAUAUAGUUAAGCAUUCUACUAAUCUUAAUGCUUCUUGACUAUUCAUAAAAAAGUAAAAUUUAAAUAUGAAUAAAUAAUCCAAUAGCAGCUUUAUCUUGCUGAACCUAUGAUAGCCUCGAGGGAAACUGGGAUUAGAUACCCCAUUAUUCUUGGCUGUAAACUAAUAACACUUACCAGGGUACUACGAAUUCCACAAUUUAAAACUCAAAGAGCUUGGCGGUGUUUUAGACCUCUCAGGGGAACCUGUCUCAUAAUCGAUAAUCCACGUUAUACCUAACCUAUAUUUGUCAUCAGCCUGUAUACCGUUGUCGUCAGGUAACUUUUUAGAAAUCAGAAGUUAGCUAUAAGCCUUAAACUAUAACGUCAAAUCAAGGUGCAGCCAAUAUAAAGGCGAAGAUGGGUUACAAUUAUACAAUUAUAACACGUAUAGUUAUAAAAAUAAAUAACUAUCAAGGCGGACUUGAAAGUAAACUAAAUUAUAUAAACAAUUUGAAUUAGGCUCUGAAAUGUGU
RNAcentral lists this ribosomal RNA (546 nucleotides) under Horaiclavidae gen. 1 sp. NP-2011. RNAcentral's name for it is "partial 12S ribosomal RNA". Lineage: Eukaryota; Metazoa; Mollusca; Gastropoda; Neogastropoda; Drilliidae. The record is from RNAcentral.